This 497-nucleotide ribosomal RNA is filed under the name uncultured bacterium. Its description in RNAcentral is "partial 16S ribosomal RNA". It matches the Rfam family "Bacterial small subunit ribosomal RNA", at positions 28 to 507 of the family's 1533-position model. The record is from RNAcentral.
GAUGAACGCUGGCGGCGUGCCUAAUACAUGCAAGUCGAGCGAACGGACGAGAAGCUUGCUUCUCUGAUGUUAGCGGCGGACGGGUGAGUAACACGUGGAUAACCUACCUAUAAGACUGGGAUAACUUCGGGAAACCGGAGCUAAUACCGGAUAAUAUUUUGAACCGCAUGGUUCAAAAGUGAAAGACGGUCUUGCUGUCACUUAUAGAUGGAUCCGCGCUGCAUUAGCUAGUUGGUAAGGUAACGGCUUACCAAGGCAACGAUGCGUAGCCGACCUGAGAGAGUGAUCGGCCACACUGGAACUGAGACACGGUCCAGACUCCUACGGGAGGCAGCAGUAGGGAAUCUUCCGCAAUGGGCGAAAGCCUGACGGAGCAACGCCGCGUGAGUGAUGAAGGUCUUCGGAUCGUAAAACUCUGUUAUUAGGGAAGAACAUAUGUGUAAGUAACUGUGCACAUCUUGACGGUACCUAAUCAGAAAGCCACGGCUAACUACGUG